UUCAGCCCUUGCCUGGACAGAGGUGGCCGCUAGAGUCAUCAGCAUGGACACUGGCACCAGUGACUACAUAGGUCCCAGGAUCGUAGCCAGCCACCUCGGGUGCCUCCGGAGACCACUUGAGAAGUGCAGAGACUGUGGGCCAGCCCCUCAUUCUUGUCUGAGACAGUGAUGCCCUCCCCACUCAGUAAUUAUGCACAGCUAGCAGAGGUGGGAGCUGGGUUCUCCCACACCCUGCAGCAAAUCGGAAAUCCCAGGGUGAGGACAGGAGGAUAGAAUUGUUGUGCCAGCUCAGCACCCACUCCUCUUGUGUGCCCAGGCAGGCUGCUGAGAUCCCCCAGCAUUCUGGGCUGGGCAAGAACUCAGAUUUCCACCUGAGGUUGGAGAAGCUUCAGAGUUCAGCCCCUGACCAGCAGAGUCCUGGGAGAGAGGGCAGUGCUAGCAGAUAAAAUCUCAGCCAAUGGGGCUGUGCAGGUGGCCCCAAGGCCUCCAGCUCCACAGAUAAGAAUCAGAAGCACAGCCAUCUCAAUUAGAAAGCAAUUUGAGUUAUCACGCUAAUUAAAGGGGUGUGCAGGCACAAGACCUGACUAGAUCUAGAUCCCUAACGUUAACAAAAAUCAGAUGGUUGAGAAUAAGAAUUUCACAUAAAUAGAAAUGUGAAAGUACGAUGUGCAACUGAGAAGUUGCCAUGAUUUUUUCUUUUCAGGCUGUUGGUAAUUUUCAUCAUCAGAUACAUUAUUUCUGAUGGGGGAGGGGUGGGGGUGUGUGAAUAGGGCCGCUGACUUUUUUGUUCAUUUAAAAUCAGUAUAAUUUGCUGAAGAAGGUUGAAUGACUCCUACAUUUUUUAAGGCAGCUCUGAAAUGAAUGGCUUCAUUUAAUCACAAAAGAAGGAAUACCAGCAAGACCACCCAGGCCCCAGCUCCGGUUUUUCCUGAAGAAUUUGGCCGCAUCUCCCUUUUUGAAGGCAGAGUUUCAUCUUGCUCCAGGGAGAAGCAACUUCCUGGGCAUGCGUGUUAAGAGACAAAAAAUGAUGACGUUUGAUGACCACUCCACCAGAAAAGGGAAGAAAGCCUGAGGGGCCUGCGUGGACCUCCCUAAACACACUGCGCAUGCUCCAUUCCAAACGGUAUGGCGAGCACUGCGCAUGCGGGAAACCCACCCUGUAAGGGAAGAAUCCUGGGAAAGAGGCAAGCCUAUGAAGUCCCAGGAUCAAGAUGGGACCAUCUAGUUGCAGGAAAACAAGCUGAGUGAGGAUUCCCACUGAUUCUAUACUAUGAUCAUACCAAUCACCUCUGAGAAGCCCAAUCACUACAACCACUAACCACAACAUAAAUCAACGUGAGGACCUGAGAGCUCGCUUGCUCCCACUCUGUCCCUAGCCCAGCCUGGUUUUUCCAUCACAUGCUUCUUAGGCAGCAGGGAGCUGAGGCAGGGGGAACAUUUAGUUCCUUUUUCAAAGACUGGGAACACUUAAAAAUAUCUCCAAGUAAGCAACCAGCAUUCAGAGGAUGCUUAUUUACACUUUGUAGGAGCCUGGUGUUGGGACUCUGGCUCCUGGAUGGCGUCAAACCUGCCCUUGGGCUUGGCCGAGGCUGGUCUGGGAGUACCAUUUGCAAAUGGCUCUUGCUUCACGGUUGCAUCUCCAUCUGGGUAAACAACCUAGCGACAGCGCUGGCUCUUCUUAAGGCUGUCUGUUAUGGACUGAACUGUGUCCCUCUCAGAUUCACUUGUUAAAGUCCUGACCCCAGUACACCUCAGAAUGUGACUGUAUAUAGAAAUAGGGCAUGUAAAGCAGUCAUGACGGUUAAGUAAGGUCAUAUGGAUUGGCUCUAGUUCAAACGUGACUGGUAUCCUUCUAAGAAGAGGAAGAGACACCAGAGCUCACUCUCUUUCCACGCACACAAUGGCCAUGUGAGCACACUGUGAGAAGAUGCCAUCCGCAAGCCAAGAAGAGAGGCCUUGGGAGAAACCAAACCUGCUGUCACCUUGAUCUUGGACUUCCAGCCUCAAGAACUGUGAGAAAAUAAAUUUCUGCUGUUUAUUCCACCCAAUUUGUGGCAUUUUGUUAUGGCAGCCCAAGCCAACUAAGAUACCAUCCAUGUAAUUUCUUCUUGUAUGGCAAGGUCUUAACAUGAGACAUGAAUGAAUCAAUGGCCAUUUCUAUGCAGAAAUUUAAAAGCAUUCUUGAGUUCUCAUGGGGAGAUUUAAAUUCUCCAUAUAUGAACCCCUCUAGCCUGUACUUUCUUAUAGGAAAAUUCUCUGUGAGAUUGGAAUAUUCCAGAAGUUAACCAAAAGGAUCUUAAUUUACACUCUAUCUCCUAUUCCUCACAUUCCUAGUACUGUUAAUUACUCUCCUUCCUCAACCUCUGCUCCAUCCCUUUGGCAAGCCCAUGCAUUUAGUAGAUGUUUAUUGAGUGCUUCUCUAGGCCAGCUUAGGCUUUAGGCACUGGAGGUACGGGAAUGAAGAAAACAGAUAAGGCACGUGCUCUCACGUGGCUUCCAUCCUAGCAGAGGAAAACAGAAAUAAAAAUAAAUAAAUAAAUAAAUAAGGACUAUGUCAGAUAGUGAAAAGCUAUUCAGGAAUUUUAAAUACAGCAAUGCAAGAAUGACUGAGAGCCUGCUUUGGUUAGGCAGACAGGAACUCUGUCCUUUCCAACUAAAAACCAUUCUACUCCCUCUUCUCUUCUUUCCAUCAGCAUAACUACCCCUUGAGUGCAAGCUCCUGGGCUGGGCUCCUGCAAAAGCAUUCUAAUUGACCUCUCUGCCACCUCCUUUGCACCACUGCAGUUCAUUUUCCACAUAGCAGCUAGGGAAAUAUGUAAAAAACAAAGCUGGUUUUCAUUAUUCACAAUAGCUGUGUUCUAUAAAGUUGCUUCAAACCCUGAAUUCUGGAAUACUGAAGCAUUGCUC
Molecule: long non-coding RNA, 2907 nt
Filed under: Homo sapiens (human)
Lineage: Eukaryota; Metazoa; Chordata; Mammalia; Primates; Hominidae
Description: HSALNT0024207
Source: RNAcentral